AUAUUAUUACAUAAAACAGGCUGGUUUUUUUCUAGAUGUAGUGAAACUCCUGUUUUAGAAGUGCUAGUAAACAUGCUGUAAAUAACCCUGUCCAUCUCCUCAAAGGGAGCACUUUGCAGAAAGCUGUCAUUAGGAGUGGGGGCCGAAGACACCUGGAGAAACACAUUGUGUUGCUCAGAGUAGUUUUAUUCAUAUUGCAUAAGCAAGGGUAAGGGAAUAAAAAAUCCCUUGCCUCAAUCACUUUAUCCGUGCAUGGGAUUACAAAAUGGAAUUGAAAGUUGGAGGUUAUAAUGGGUAGAAGAGAAACAGCUGCUUUUAGACAGUGUUACUUAUUUGGUUUGGGGUUUUUUUGCAUUAUACAAGUGUCUUGUUCCAUCUUGUUAUUAAGUGAGGGAUCCAGACUUAUGGUGCAGUCUUUGCAAAGAUGAACAGAAAUGCAGUGGGGACUAAAUUUCUAUUCUUAAAAGGGCUUUUGCAGUCUUUUUGCCUAUUUGUCACUGAGUUUAUGGCUUAAAAAGAAAAAUUAAGGAUGUCAUUAAAAAAAAAAAAAGUGAGAGAAGAAGGGAAAAGGACAAUGUAACUAUUCAAUUUUAUAACUGGUCUGUUGGUUUAGAGAGACUUCUAUUUAAAUAUUUAAAGCCUGCUAGUCUCUGGUACUGUACUGCUACACAGCUGAGCUCCUAUUCUGUGAAGUACAUUUUUUGCUUACCUCUCUUCUUUUAAUGUGGCAGGAAUGGAGACCAUAUCCCUAGAGUAUUUGGAAAAGCAUUUAUAAGGGUCCCCUUAGAAUUACUCCCUACAUUUCUUCAUGGAUGUGGUCUCCUGGAAACUGGUUCAUGCUAUGUAACUGAGCCCAGCGUGUUCUAUGUUUCCAUGUAAAAAAUGCAAGGAGGAAGAGGUAUGUCCGAGGAAAUGACAAAGGCAUUUGCAAGGAGUGGGAAAAGAGACCCUGAAGAGUCUUUAUAAUUGUACCCCUCUAGGGUAGAGAGGGAAAGAGUUGGGCGCUUGUGCCUUGUGCUCCUCCAGCAAGUUUUUAAAAGAAGCCAUUUCAGGGUCAGUAAGAAGCAGAGGGGCUUCCUCCUUUUCUGUUGUUCAGGUUUCAUUGUGGCAGCUGACAGGAUGCUGCAAGCAACAUCAGCUGUUGCUUUUCUAGUCAGCCUAGAAGAAGACAUAAUUGUGGCAAGUGGGAGAAAUGAGCAACUUGAGAGGAUCUUGUAGGCAAGCAUGAGAUCCUGGAGAUGAGGCCAUCUUCUGCAGCAUCACAGAGAGUUGUUCUCCUACAGCUGAGACUCAUUGCAUUGAAGAAGGAGAUUCCAUUCAGAAGAUGGAAUAUCUGCGAGGUACAUGUACACCAAAUCCUGAAGCUUGAAAUUCCCCUGUGUUGCCCAACUUGGAAAGGAUAAAUUUUAUGGCAUAGGUGCUUCAUUUGCAUGAUUCUUGUGGGUAUGUUUGAUCAACCAAAGUGAAUUUGAAAAGAAAUGACAGACUUCCUUGAAGCGGCCUUCAAAAUAAAAAAGAUUGCAUUUCUGAAUGCAUGGAAAUUAUGAGAAAACACAAAAAGGGGUCUGUUCAUGGUGGGAUGAAAAUUCUCUGAGUCAUAAAGGCAUCCUCACAGCUGGGCUGGAUUUGGCAGUCUCAAUGCAACAGAGGAAGGAAAACCAAACUGCUUCCUCAGAGGCAGUCCCUGAGGUCAGGCUAUGGAUGAAGCCAGCUGGCUGGGCAGCACUGGGGGCUGCAGUUUCAUUGCUGUUGACACAGCUUGUCUCAGACACAUCAAACUGGCUUGUGACAGUGGGAUCAAGAGCACCCUUGACAAGUUUGUAGGUGACAUGAAACUAAGUGGUGCAGUUGACACAACAGAAGGAUGGAAUGCCAUCCAAAGGAACCUAGACAAAUUUGAAAAGUGGGCCCACGAGGGACUCAUGAAGUUCAAGUCCAAGUGCAAUGGGCUGCACUUGGGUUGAGGCAAUCUGAGAUGUGACUGAGAGUAGAAGUAAUCAACAACAGCCCUGCAGAGAAAGAGCUGGGGUUCUACUGGAUGAAAAGCUGGACAUGAGCCAACAGUGAGCCCUCACAGCCCAGGAAGCCAAGUGCAUCCUGGGCUGCAUCAAAAGAGGGGCGGCCACCAGGUCGAGGGAGGUCAUGCUUUCCUCUACUCUGUCCUCUUGUGACCCCACCUGGAGCACUGCAUUCAGAUUUGGGGUCUUCAACAUAAGAAAGACAUUUAUCUGUUAAAAGAGGUUCAGAGAAGGACUAUGAUGGUGAUCAGAUGUGGGAGUAUCUCUCCUAUGACGACAGGCUGAAUGAAAGAGAUUUUGCCCUGGUCAGUGAUAUGGCAGGUUUUAUGUUUGUAACCCUGAAGUGUGCUGCCCAUGGGAGGACAAUGUGAUUUCUGCCCCCUCUGCCCCAGAGCACACAGGAUCUGCCUGAUCUUCACUUAAGGUGAAAAAACCUCUAUGCCUGAUUGCAAGCAGCUUGCUCCCACAUUUUCAAUAUAUAAUGAUAUCAAAGGUGCUAUCUUUCAGUACAAAGUCUCUGAAGCAGCUGAUGCAAUGUGGUCUGCUGUGGUAAAGAACAUCAUAGUCCUCCAAAGUAUGCUUAAUGAAAGCAAAAAUAAAAAGGACUAUUUACUUACUGGGAAAAAAUGUUUCUACAAUUUUAAAGGUUUAUUGUUGUGCAUCUGUGUGAACAAACAAAGCACCAGAGACGAGCAGCAGGUGUUAAGAGUCACCGGUUGAAUUUAAGCAUGUUAAUACUGGCCACUGCGGCAUCAAACUAUGGGUAUGGAAGUGCCCACAAGCAAUUCACACACCAUUUUUUGGCAUUUGACCUCCUAUAAUGAAGGAAAGUGAAAAACUGAAGGGAUUUACAGAAGCUAAUGAGCUGAGGGGAAAGAUACUUUGAAACAGCAGCUGGUGAAGACAGACUCUGAAUUACCUCUCAAUGCUUGGAGAACUUAGAUGUCUAAUGCUGCACUGGACAUAGGUGCUUAUUUUAAUUUGGCUGUUACAAGCCUUAACUUCUCCUGAAUUAGAACAUAAAUCUUACAGUCACAGCUUUAUUUCUACCACUGUACCAUUUCUACACUGCUUCAUAACUGUCCUGUAGCAUAAUGUUUCUUACACUGGUUCUUGGAAGAGAAUUUCUGCUUCAGCAAUGAUCUGAUCAUUUGUUAACUGCAAACUUCUUAACGA
Molecule: long non-coding RNA, 3194 nt
Organism: Passer domesticus (house sparrow)
Lineage: Eukaryota; Metazoa; Chordata; Aves; Passeriformes; Passeridae
Exons: 14
Source: RefSeq, a predicted model, not a curated record